GCAAACUUGGUCAUUUAGAGGAAGUAAAAGUCGUAACAAGGUCUCCGUUGGUGAACCAGCGGAGGGAUCAUUAAAGAGUCUAAACAACUCCCAAACCCAUGUGAACAUACCUCUCGUUGCCUCGGCCGGCUUCCGCGCCUCGCGGGCCCAAAGCCUGCCGGCGGCCCAACAAACUCUGUUUUAUUAAUAAGCACUAUGAAUUUAUAACCUAAUACGUUAAAACUUUCAACAACGGAUCUCUUGGUUCUGGCAUCGAUGAAGAACGCAGC
This 269-nucleotide unclassified non-coding RNA is filed under the name uncultured fungus. RNAcentral's name for it is "partial contains small subunit ribosomal RNA, internal transcribed spacer 1, and 5.8S ribosomal RNA". The stretch from base 1 to 73 matches the Rfam family "Eukaryotic small subunit ribosomal RNA", at positions 1759 to 1831 of the family's 1831-position model. Lineage: Eukaryota; Fungi. The record is from RNAcentral.